CUUGCUUUCUUUGCUGGCGACCGGCGCACGGGUGAGUAACACGUAUCCAACCUGCCCUUUACUCGGGGAUAGCCUUUCGAAAGAAAGAUUAAUACCCGAUAGCAUAAUGAUUCCGCAUGGUUUCAUUAUUAAAGGAUUCCGGUAAAGGAUGGGGAUGCGUUCCAUUAGGUUGUUGGUGGGGUAACGGCCCACCAAGCCUUCGAUGGAUAGGGGUUCUGAGGGGAAGGUCCCCCACAUUGGAACUGAGACACGGUCCAA
Molecule: ribosomal RNA, 258 nt
Filed under: uncultured bacterium
Lineage: Bacteria
Description: partial 16S ribosomal RNA
Rfam family: Bacterial small subunit ribosomal RNA
Source: RNAcentral